GGACACGCAUGAAAGAAUGUACCACAGAAAAUAAGACACAUCAAUGAGGGUUGUGGAAAAUGCACUAGAAUCAACAAGCAUGGGGACUAAUUCAACUCGGAUACCAUGUCUUCAGAGAAUUUUUUCCUGCUCUCCUCUCCCUGUAGAAUUAAUUAUUCUUCCACCGUGCCACCCUCUAACUUGUGCUCAUAUCUGCCUCUAUUGUAGUUAUGUGUUUACAUCCCUGUUGUUUUUGUACCGGCUUCUCCCGAAGGGAGACAUUUAGUCUUAUUCUUCUUGGUAACUUUAGCACAGACCUGGCAGAUUGUUGACGCUCAACAAAUGUUCAUUGACUCAAAUGCGUUCAAUUAAACAUUGACCUUUGAUCAACUCUGGGAAAAGUCUGCAAAGCUAGUUAGGACACUCAGAAAUUCAUUUCAUUUCAAUCCUAACUAAAUAAAUUAUUGAAGUCUCAGAACUUCUCAGUACUUGACUUAGAAACAUAGAAACUUGGGUAAAUAGCA
Molecule: long non-coding RNA, 503 nt
Filed under: Pongo abelii (Sumatran orangutan)
Lineage: Eukaryota; Metazoa; Chordata; Mammalia; Primates; Hominidae
Description: lincRNA
Source: RNAcentral